RNAcentral lists this ribosomal RNA (253 nucleotides) under uncultured bacterium. RNAcentral describes it as "partial 16S ribosomal RNA". It matches the Rfam family "Bacterial small subunit ribosomal RNA", at positions 524 to 776 of the family's 1533-position model. The record is from RNAcentral.
UACAGAGGUCCCAAGCGUUGUUCGGAUUCACUGGGCGUAAAGGGUGCGCAGGUGGGUUUGCAAGUUCGAUGUGAAAGCCCCGGGCUUAACCCGGGAAUGGCAUUGGAUACUGCAGAUCUGGAGGAUCGGAGGGGGGACUGGAAUUCUUGGUGUAGCAGUGAAAUGCGUAGAUAUGCGGAGGAACACCGAUGGCGAAGGCAAUCCCCUGGGCCUGCACUGACGCUCAUGCACGAAAGCGUGGGGAGCAAACAGG